RNAcentral lists this transfer RNA (73 nucleotides) under Labracinus cyclophthalmus (fire-tail devil). RNAcentral describes it as "tRNA-Val". It matches the Rfam family "tRNA". From Rfam's summary of the family: Transfer RNA (tRNA) molecules are approximately 80 nucleotides in length. Their secondary structure includes four short double-helical elements and three loops (D, anti-codon, and T loops). RNAcentral also lists the same sequence under 1 other name. Lineage: Eukaryota; Metazoa; Chordata; Actinopteri; Pseudochromidae. The record is from RNAcentral.
CAGGGUUUAGCUUAGCACAGUAAAGCAUCUCUUUUACACCGAGAAGUCCCUCGUGCAAACCGAGGCCCCCUGA